This 477-nucleotide ribosomal RNA is filed under the name uncultured bacterium. RNAcentral describes it as "partial 16S ribosomal RNA". It matches the Rfam family "Bacterial small subunit ribosomal RNA", at positions 30 to 507 of the family's 1533-position model. The record is from RNAcentral.
AUUGAACGCUGGCGGCAUGCCUUACACAUGCAAGUCGAACGGUAACAGGUUAAGCUGCCGAGUGGCGAACGGGUGAGUCAUACAUCGGAACGUGCCCAGUAGUGGGGGAUAGCCCGGCGAAAGCCGGAUUAAUACCGCAUACGACCUAAGGGUGAAAGGGGGGGAUCGCAAGACCUCUCGCUAUUGGAGCGGCCGAUGUCAGAUUAGCUAGUUGGUGGGGUAAAAGCUCACCAAGGCGACGAUCUGUAGCUGGUCUGAGAGGACGACCAGCCACACGGGGACUGAGACACGGCCCAGACUCCUACGGGAGGCAGCAGUGGGGAAUUUUGGACAAUGGGCGCAAGCCUGAUCCAGCCAUGCCGCGUGCGGGAAGAAGGCCUUCGGGUUGUAAACCGCUUUUGUCAGGGAAGAAAUCCUUUGGGUUAAUACCUCGGGGGGAUGACGGUACCUGAAGAAUAAGCACCGGCUAACUACGUG